GACGAACGCUGGCGGCGUGCUUAACACAUGCAAGUCGUACGGUAAGGCCCUUUCGGGGGUACACGAGUGGCGAACGGGUGAGUAACACGUGAGUAACCUGCCCACAACUUUGGGAUAACGCUAGGAAACUGGUGCUAAUACUGGAUAUGUGCUCCUGCUGCAUGGUGGGGGUUGGAAAGCUCCGGCGGUUGUGGAUGGACUCGCGGCCUAUGAGCUUGUUGGUGGGGUAGUGGCCUACCAAGGCGGCGACGGGUAGCCGGCCUGAGAGGGUGACCGGCCACAUUGGGACUGAGAUACGGCCCAGACUCCUACGGGAGGCAGCAGUGGGGAAUAUUGCACAAUGGGCGCAAGCCUGAUGCAGCAACGCCGCGUGCGGGAUGACGGCCUUCGGGUUGUAAACCGCUUUCAGCAGGGACGAAGCUUUUUGUGACGGUACCUGCAGAAGAAGCACCGGCUAACUACGUG
This 465-nucleotide ribosomal RNA is filed under the name uncultured bacterium. RNAcentral describes it as "partial 16S ribosomal RNA". It matches the Rfam family "Bacterial small subunit ribosomal RNA", at positions 28 to 507 of the family's 1533-position model. The record is from RNAcentral.